UACAGGGGGGGCAAGCGUUGUUCGGAAUUACUGGGCGUAAAGGGCCAGUAGGCGGCCAACUAAGUCACACGUGAAAUCCCUCGGCUUAACCGGGGAACUGCAUCUGAUACUGGAUGGCUUUGAGUUUCGGGAGAGGGAUGCGGAAUUCCAGGUGUAGCGGUGAAAUGCGUAGAUAUCUGGAGGAACACCGGUGGCGAAGGCGGCAUCCUGGACCGGCACUGACGCUGAGGAGCGAAAGCCAGGGGAGCAAAACGGGG
RNAcentral lists this ribosomal RNA (257 nucleotides) under uncultured bacterium. RNAcentral's name for it is "partial 16S ribosomal RNA". It matches the Rfam family "Bacterial small subunit ribosomal RNA", at positions 524 to 778 of the family's 1533-position model. The record is from RNAcentral.